This is a long non-coding RNA of Sapajus apella (tufted capuchin), 196 nucleotides long. RefSeq lists it as uncharacterized. The transcript has 3 exons. Lineage: Eukaryota; Metazoa; Chordata; Mammalia; Primates; Cebidae. The record is from RefSeq and is a predicted model, not a curated record.
CUGUAUUAGUUCUUUCUCAGGCUGCUAUGAAGAAAUACUUGAGACUGAGUAAUUUAUAAAGAAAAGAGGUUUUAAUCAACUCAUCAUUUCACUAAGCUGGGGAGGUCUCAGGAAACUUGCAAUCAUGGUGGAAGGGGAAGCAAGUACCUCCUUCUUCAUAUGGCGGCAGCAAGGAGGAGCACUCAAUAAAAGGGUA